Non-coding RNA from Pogona vitticeps (central bearded dragon), 374 nucleotides. The record is from RefSeq and is a predicted model, not a curated record. NCBI's taxonomy places the organism in Eukaryota, Metazoa, Chordata, Lepidosauria, Squamata, Agamidae.
GUGCAGCACAUUCCACACAGUGAGCCAAACUCUGUUCUCCGCUAUGCCCAUAGUGCCGUCAAAACGAAUGGAAAUAUUAGGAAGGCAGGUGGGUUUGGUGUCGGUCCAGAAUACUGGAAAAGCAAACCAUGCCAACCUGUACGGUUGUUAACUACCACUGUGUCCAGUGGUGCUCACUCUCAGCUGGCAAAGGCAAAGUCUGAGGGGGAAUGGAGACUCCGCCAAAGACACGUAGACUUUUGUGUGGGGAUCAGCAGAGGGAACGGCAAAUACAUACACAAGAGAAAAGCUUAAGCAGCAUCAGCUUCCAGUGUCAGGACAGAAAUAAAGAUUUUGAAUGCUGUUUUUAAUUCUGCCUUAAAAAAAAAAAAACU